GAUGAACGCUAGCUACAGGCUUAACACAUGCAAGUCGAGGGGAAACGACAUCGAAAGCUUGCUUUUGAUGGGCGUCGACCGGCGCACGGGUGAGUAACGCGUAUCCAACCUGCCCAUCACUUGGGAAUAACCUUGCGAAAGUAAGACUAAUACCCAAUGAUAUCCCACGAAGGCAUCGGAAUGGGAUUAAAGAUUUAUCGGUGAUGGAUGGGGAUGCGUCUGAUUAGCUUGUUGGCGGGGUAACGGCCCACCAAGGCAACGAUCAGUAGGGGUUCUGAGAGGAAGGUCCCCCACAUUGGAACUGAGACACGGUCCAAACUCCUACGGGAGGCAGCAGUGAGGAACAUUGGUCAAUGGGCGAGAGCCUGAACCAGCCAAGUAGCGUGCAGGAAGACGGCCCUAUGGGUUGUAAACUGCUUUUAUAAGGGAAUAAAGUGGGUCACGUGUGACUUUUUGCAUGUACCUUAUGAAUAAGGACCGGCUAAUUCCGUG
This 492-nucleotide ribosomal RNA is filed under the name uncultured bacterium. RNAcentral's name for it is "partial 16S ribosomal RNA". It matches the Rfam family "Bacterial small subunit ribosomal RNA", at positions 28 to 507 of the family's 1533-position model. The record is from RNAcentral.